AGUUGGAAACGACUGCUAAGACUGGAUAGGAGACAAGAAGGCAUCUUCUUGUUUUUAAAAGACCUAGCAAUAGGUAUGCUUAGGGAGGAGCUUGCGUCACAUUAGUUAGUUGGUGGGGUAAAGGCCUACCAAGACUAUGAUGUGUAGCCGGGCUGAGAGGUUGAACGGCCACAUUGGGACUGAGACACGGCCCAAACUCCUACGGGAGGCAGCAGUAGGGAAUUUUCGGCAAUGGAGGAAACUCUGACCGAGCAACGCCGCGUGAACGAUGAAGUAUUUCGGUACGUAAAGUUCUUUUAUUAGGGAAGAAUAAAUGAUGGAAAAAUCAUUCUGACGGUACCUAAUGAAUAAGCCCCGGCUAACUAUGUGCCAGCAGCCGCGGUAAUACAUAGGGGGCAAGCGUUAUCCGGAAUUAUUGGGCGUAAAGGGUGCGUAGGCGGUUAAAUAAGUUUAUGGUCUAAGUGCAAUGCUCAACAUUGUGAUGCUAUAAAAACUGUUUAGCUAGAGUAAGAUAGAGGCAAGUGGAAUUCCAUGUGUAGUGGUAAAAUGCGUAAAUAUAUGGAGGAACACCAGUAGCGAAGGCGGCUUGCUGGGUCUUUACUGACGCUGAGGCACGAAAGCGUGGGGAGCAAACAGGAUUAGAUACCCUGGUAGUCCACGCCGUAAACGAUGAGUACUAAACGUUGGGUAAAACCAGUGUUGAAGUUAACACAUUAAGUACUCCGCCUGAGUAGUACGUACGCAAGUAUGAAACUUAAAGGAAUUGACGGGACUCCGCACAAGCGGUGGAUCAUGUUGUUUAAUUCGAAGGUACCCGAAAAACCUCACCAGGUCUUGACAUGCUUCUGCAAAGCUGUAGAAACACAGUGGAGGUUAUCAGUUGCACAGGUGGUGCAUGGUUGUCGUCAGCUCGUGUCGUGAGAUGUUGGGUUAAGUCCCGCAACGAGCGCAACCCUUAUUGUUAGUUACCAGCACGUAAUGGUGGGGACUUUAGCAAGACUGCCAGUGAUAAAUUGGAGGAAGGUGGGGACGACGUCAAAUCAUCAUGCCCCUUAUGACCUGGGCUACAAACGUGAUACAAUGGCUGUUACAAAGGGUAGCUGAAGCGCAAGUUUUUGGCGAAUCUCAAAAAAACAGUCUCAGUUCGGAUUGAAGUCUGCAACUCGACUUCAUGAAGUUGGAAUCGCUAGUAAUCGCGAAUCAGCAUGUCGCGGUGAAUACGUUCUCGGGGUUUGUACACACCGCCCGUCAAACCACG
RNAcentral lists this ribosomal RNA (1258 nucleotides) under Sesame phyllody phytoplasma. RNAcentral's name for it is "bacterial SSU rRNA". It matches the Rfam family "Bacterial small subunit ribosomal RNA", at positions 148 to 1406 of the family's 1533-position model. Lineage: Bacteria; Bacillati; Mycoplasmatota; Mollicutes; Acholeplasmatales; Acholeplasmataceae. The record is from RNAcentral.